CCUACGGGUGGCAGCAGUGAGGAAUAUUGGUCAAUGGACGAAAGUCUGAACCAGCCAAGUAGCGUGAAGGAUGACUGCCCUAUGGGUUGUAAACUUCUUUUAUAUGGGAAUAAACUGUUCCACGUGUGGGAUUUUGUAUGUACCAUAUGAAUAAGGAUCGGCUAACUCCGUGCCAGCAGCCGCGGUAAUACGGAGGAUCCGAGCGUUAUCCGGAUUUAUUGGGUUUAAAGGGGGCGUAGGUGGAUUGUUAAGUCAGUUGUGAAAGUUUGCGGCUCAACCGUGAAAUUGCAGUUGAAACUGGUAGUCUUGAGUACAGUAGCGGUGGGCGGAAUUCGUGGUGUAGCGGUGAAAUGCUUAGAUAUCACGCAGAACUCCGAUUGCGAAGGCAGUUCACCGGACUGCAACUGACACUGAGGCUCGAAAGUGUGGGUAUCAAACAGGAUUAGAUACCCGAGUAGUC
RNAcentral lists this ribosomal RNA (460 nucleotides) under uncultured bacterium. Its description in RNAcentral is "partial 16S ribosomal RNA". It matches the Rfam family "Bacterial small subunit ribosomal RNA", at positions 338 to 795 of the family's 1533-position model. The record is from RNAcentral.